GACGAACGCUGGCGGCGUGCUUAACACAUGCAAGUCGAACGAAGAGCGAUGGAAGCUUGCUUCUAUCAAUCUUAGUGGCGAACGGGUGAGUAACGCGUAAUCAACCUGCCCUUCAGAGGGGGACAACAGUUGGAAACGACUGCUAAUACCGCAUACGAUCUAAUCUCGGCAUCGAGGAUAGAUGAAAGGUGGCCUCUACAUGUAAGCUAUCACUGAAGGAGGGGAUUGCGUCUGAUUAGCUAGUUGGAGGGGUAACGGCCCACCAAGGCGAUGAUCAGUAGCCGGUCUGAGAGGAUGAACGGCCACAUUGGGAAUGAGACACGGCCCAGACUCCUACGGGAGGCAGCAGUGGGGGAUCUUCCGCAAUGGACGGAAGUCUGGAGGAGCAACGCCGCGUGGGUGAUGACGGCCUUCGGGUUGUAAAGCUCUGUUAAUCGGGACGGAAGGCCUUCUUGCGAACAGUUAGAAGGAUUGACGGUACCGGAAUAGAAAGCCACGGCUAACUACGUG
Molecule: ribosomal RNA, 510 nt
Filed under: uncultured bacterium
Lineage: Bacteria
Description: partial 16S ribosomal RNA
Rfam family: Bacterial small subunit ribosomal RNA
Source: RNAcentral